This 274-nucleotide long non-coding RNA is filed under the name Capsicum annuum. Its description in RNAcentral is "long non-coding RNA (CANN_LNC007785)". Lineage: Eukaryota; Viridiplantae; Streptophyta; Magnoliopsida; Solanales; Solanaceae. The record is from RNAcentral.
UUCUUGAGAGGAUUGUGGGAAAAAAGAGUAUAUUUUGCUUCAAAAAAGGUUUAAUUCCGUGUUUGGGAGUAUAUAUAUGGAGGGAAAAGUACCAAUUUGCCCUUGAAGGCACGGAAGUGAACUGCUGAAAAACUGGGCACAAAGGCUGUGGAAGGACGGUGCCUUUCCCAGAGCCUUUUGUAGGCUGGGCAGCGCCUUGCUAUUGGGGAGGGGGCAAAGGCUCUAAGUUGGACGGUGCCGCCUCAUAGCCUUUAGCUACUGGUUUGAAAUCCAA